RNAcentral lists this ribosomal RNA (292 nucleotides) under uncultured Alphaproteobacteria bacterium. RNAcentral describes it as "partial 16S ribosomal RNA". Lineage: Bacteria; Pseudomonadati; Pseudomonadota; Alphaproteobacteria. The record is from RNAcentral.
GGACUACCGGGGUAUCUAAUCCUGUUUGCUCCCCACGCUUUCGCGCCUCAGCGUCAGUCUCGGUCCAGAGCGCCGCCUUCGCCACCGGUGUUCUUCCCAAUAUCUACGAAUUUCACCUCUACACUGGGAAUUCCACGCUCCUCUCCCGAACUCCAGCGAACCAGUCUCGAGCGCACCUCCCAGGUUGAGCCCGGGGCUUUCACACUCGACUUGGACCGCCGCCUACGCGCCCUUUACGCCCAGUAAAUCCGAACAACGCUCGCCCCCUUCGUAUUACCGCGGCGGCUGGCAC